This is a long non-coding RNA of Xiphophorus hellerii (green swordtail), 1160 nucleotides long. RefSeq lists it as uncharacterized. The transcript is spliced from 2 exons. The record is from RefSeq and is a predicted model, not a curated record. NCBI's taxonomy places the organism in Eukaryota, Metazoa, Chordata, Actinopteri, Cyprinodontiformes, Poeciliidae.
ACCGACUCAACAGGAAGUGAAGGAAGAGCUUCACUGUUGGCUUCUGCUCAGCAGAGUCUGUAGGGAAGUCCUGGGAAUUUCAGUUCAAAAUCCUCAAAAAUCUUUUUGUCAGCUUAAUUUUUUAUGAAGUCAUAUUUUCAAUAAUUCUUUGAUAUUGUUUUAUUUAAGAAGAAGCCAUUCAGCCAAUGCCCAGUUUACACGGGAAGAUUUUUAUGGUGACGUUCGUCUUGAUUUCCUCCUCAGCAACUUUAGAACAACCUGAAUGUCAGAGCAUCAAACCCGUCAUCCUGCCGCGCGUUCAGAGCCAUCUGCUCGGACCGCUCCGGGUGUGUGUGUGUGUGUGUGUGUUCAGAGCGAUCUGCUCGGACCGCUCCGGUCUAAAAUCAGGGAUAUUCAGCAUGUGGGUCGGUCUUGGCCCGACGUCACAGCGUGUGUUGUUGUUCCCUGUCAACCAAUGAGAGCGCAGCCUGCUGAAUGUGACAGCCAAUCAGAAAGCGUGGUGAUGUAAACACGGAGGGGAAUCCCAAAGAACAGCUGACAUGGCAACAGAUCCGAGGUGGAGGACUGUAGUGGAUAUGUGGCAACAAUAUGGAUGUUUGUUCAGCAUUUCAUGUGAAGCCGAUCAGAACCGAGACUAACAGGAGUUGGACUGAAAUGAAUGUAGCCAGUAACUCCUCAGCUGAUUAUAACGAUAAGAUUCAUUCAACCACAGCCUGACACCGACACUAGCCACAUGAAUGCAAACAUAACAUCAAAACAGCAAAAACUUUAAAUCUUAGAAUUAACCGGUGAAGCUAAAUAAACAGAAACUUCUAAACAAUGUAAAGUUAAUAAAAACCCAGAACCGCUCACCUCCGUAUGACACAGAGCCACUGCUCACCGUCUCCACUCCUCCACCCAACACCUUUUCCUUUUGGUGCGUCUUUCAUCGCUGAGGAUCAUCAGACUGUUACCUCUAAAUCGUCGGCCAUGUUUGUUUACUCUAAAUUCACGUGUGGUAUUGGUGGAUGUUGGGGGAUUUCCUGUCUGGAGUCUGAAUGUUGGGGAGUGGAUUCGGGUUGUGUGUUGCUCCUUCUGGACACCACACACACACACACACACACACAACGACCAGAGAGUUACUGUUUUUACCAUGGAGUGUGUUCUCUCAGGGUUUAAAA